UAGCAGUUGGCGGUUAAACCUGAGUAGCUCAAGUAAAGCGGAACAGUGUAAAAGGUGGUAAGACGGUCUUAUUUCGGAAAUUAGGAAAAGGAGCACCGGGUUAGGGGUGUAAUCCUGGGCCCGGUGUAAAGGUAAGUUUUCCUUUAGGCUGAAGCCACUGAACCGGUGUAAAAGACAAGGAUUAGAGACCCUUUUAUUACCGACGCAAACUUUGCAGACAGCUGCUUGGGUACUACGAGCGUGCGCUUAAAACUCAAAGAACUUGGCGGCUUGUUAACUACCUAGGGGAAUAUGCGCCUUAAUCCGAUGUUCCCCGUUUCAUCUUACUGGGCCUUGAAGAAGUUCAGCUGGUGUAUUGCCGUUGUCAGCUUGUUGUGUGAGCAGAGAGAAACAGGCUCAAAGGACGAAGGUCCCUAAAUUCAGGUCGGAAUGCUGCUGAUGGUCCAAGGGAGCGGGUGUUACAGUUUUUAUUUAAACUACGGAUCCCAGUUGAGAAUUUCUGAGGGA
RNAcentral lists this ribosomal RNA (507 nucleotides) under Adamussium colbecki. RNAcentral describes it as "partial 12S ribosomal RNA". It matches the Rfam family "Bacterial small subunit ribosomal RNA", at positions 509 to 1270 of the family's 1533-position model. Lineage: Eukaryota; Metazoa; Mollusca; Bivalvia; Pectinida; Pectinidae. The record is from RNAcentral.